RNAcentral lists this long non-coding RNA (1010 nucleotides) under Mytilus galloprovincialis (Mediterranean mussel). The record is from RNAcentral. Lineage: Eukaryota; Metazoa; Mollusca; Bivalvia; Mytilida; Mytilidae.
GUCUCAUUGGCAAUCAUACCAAAUUUUCUUACUCUCUAUAUAUACAGUUGAAAACAUCUCAUGUCAUUGCUAUCUGGUUAUAAAUGGUCUCUUAAGCAAUCAUAAAACAUUUUGAUUAUUUUACUUUAAAGGGUAAGGUGCAACUUGGUAUAAAUUUCCGCUCUCAUGACGGGAUCAUUGUGGGGUUGACUAGCUGACACAUGGUUAAGUUGGUUGGCAACUUGAAGAUGUGCCAAGUUUGGGUAUGGCUUUGGUGGUUCUCAUUCAAUAUAUCACAACAGACACAUGUUACAAUUUAAAUGUUAAUUAUUUCAAAAUCUAAAAAUACAUUUGUUCAAUCAAUUAAAACAAUCGUAGUUAUUCACAAUAUAACCACGUUGUUAGUUUGCAAUUCCUACACCUAUAUCUAAAUAAGCAUCUUAAGGUGGAACCCAACACCUUGACCAAAAUUAAUCUGGGUCGUUUAAUUUUCAUAAAACUUUGACAAAAUAUUAACUGUGACCCUUAAAAAAAUACAAAAAUUUCAAAAAACUUGAACCAAUCACUUUCUCGGAAAAAAUUGGUUAUAUAUAUCAGUUUGACAAACACUAAUUUUGAUCAUUGAGAAGCUUUAUAUUUCCUUAACAAAACGUUUAGCUGAUUAAGCUGAGUUAUCUCCCUGUAGUGUUAGGUACCACCUUAAGAUUAGCAUGAUAUCUGUUUUAUGAAACGUUUUUUUUCUAUAUUGCUUUACAUGACAAUCAUAAAAUACAAAACUGCUCAAUCUAAAUCAUAACUAUAAUAAUGCGUUAGCUUCAAAUCUACUAUUAUUUUAUAAAAUGAACUCCCUUCACUUUUUGAUAGUUAUACUUGACAAUCAUGAAAUUGAUGACUGCCCAAUCGUAUUUAGUCUUUCAUUAAAAAAGAAGACUGUUUCUUUGUAAUGCAAAUAUUUACAACAAAAAAUCAUGUUCGGUUACUAAAAGCUAAUUUAAACAAUUCAUUACAUAAUACAUGUAGUAUUCUUUAAU